This is a long non-coding RNA of Erigeron canadensis, 777 nucleotides long. RefSeq lists it as uncharacterized. Lineage: Eukaryota; Viridiplantae; Streptophyta; Magnoliopsida; Asterales; Asteraceae. The record is from RefSeq and is a predicted model, not a curated record. The transcript has 2 exons.
GAAAAGUUUACAUGGACCUGAUGAGAUGAUUUCUUAUCUGUCACUAGACUAAAAUAAUAAAAACAUUUGCAGCAUGAAAUCGCCAUUAUCACAAAAGAUGAACAAUAUUCGAACUAAAAAACAAUUACUCCGAAAUCACGAUUCACCGAUGCUUACAAAACAGGAAAUAUGUUAAAGGAAAUUCAUUGUCGACCACCCACAAGCUUGUACAAAUUCGACCACAAAGAAAAAGGGGGUAUACAUGAUCGACCAAUACCGUCGUCACUUGAACACCAAAGAUAGUCGACGGCUUGAACAGUGAUUGUGCAACGGUGGUGUAGGGCAGCGGGUUUGCAGGGCGGCGACGGAGGCGCCGAUGUCAUGGUGGACGGGAAGGGUACAAAAAUAGAGAAAUAUUUACACCCACCGUGUCACCAUAUUGCUGAAACAUAUAUACGAGAUCCACACACUUUGUCUCAAACAUAUACCUUUCUUUGCUUGAAACACCCUCACUUUCCGGCUAACCUGUAUCCGCCACUUGACAGACCACCGACAACACCAACCGCUGAUGAUGAUGAUGGUGGUGUGUAUUCGGGAUCUGGGGCCAUAAAACUAUAAAAGACGGGAUUGUACCACUUCGUCGGUCUGAGAAGUAACCGCUCGGGAAUGAUUUGCAAUGGGGCUGUGAUUUACAGGGAUACAUAUGCCUAUGUAUAUUUAGAUCUGGUAAUUUUUAUGGAUAUACUCUUGAUGAUGGAUGUUGAAGAUUAUAUAUAUAUAUAUAGGGAAUUUGGGAUA